GCGUGGCCUCGGCGUUAGCAUUCACCAAUCACCGAGCAGAGCUGGGAAGGGGGCGUGGCAUCUGCCCGCAGCUCCGCCAAUCAUCGCGCAGGGCGGAGGAGGGGGCGUGGCCAUCCCGCCUUCCUGCUCCGGUAGCGGCGGAGGACGCGGCUGCCGGCCCGCGGCCACCCCAGCGGGAGCGAGGGGACCCCCGGGAGCUGCCAGGGCUGAACCAGAGCAGAGGAACUCCUGAGACCACCCAGAACCGAGCAAGAGAACCCCCGAGACCACCCAAAGCUGAGCAGGAGAACCCCCAGGACCACCCAGAGCCGAAUAGGAGCAGAGGAACCCCCAAGACCACCCAGAACCCUGCAGGAGAACCUUUAGGACCACCCAGAACCGAGCAGGAGCAGGGAGACCCACGGGAUCACCCAGAACCGAGCAGGAGCACAGGGACCCCCGGGAUCACCCAGAACCGAGUAGGAGCAGUGGGACCCCCGGGAUCACCCAGAACCGAGCAGGAGAACCCCCGGGACCACCCAGAACCGAGCAGAGGAACCCUCGGGAUCACCCAGAAC
Molecule: long non-coding RNA, 557 nt
Organism: Parus major (Great Tit)
Lineage: Eukaryota; Metazoa; Chordata; Aves; Passeriformes; Paridae
Exons: 2
Source: RefSeq, a predicted model, not a curated record